UAGGGAAUCUUCGGCAAUGGGGGGAACCCUGACCGAGCAACGCCGCGUGAGUGAAGAAGGUUUUCGGAUCGUAAAGCUCUGUUGUUAAGGAAGAACGAGUGUGAGAAUGGAAAGUUCAUACUGUGACGGUACUUAACCAGAAAGGGACGGCUAACUACGUGCCAGCAGCCGCGGUAAUACGUAGGUCCCGAGCGUUGUCCGGAUUUAUUGGGCGUAAAGCGAGCGCAGGCGGUUAGAAAAGUCUGAAGUGAAAGGCAGUGGCUCAACCAUUGUAGGCUUUGGAAACUGUUUAACUUGAGUGCAGAAGGGGAGAGUGGAAUUCCAUGUGUAGCGGUGAAAUGCGUAGAUAUAUGGAGGAACACCAGUGGCGAAGGCGACUCUCUGGUCUGUAACUGACGCUGAGGUUCGAAAGCGUGGGUAGCAAACAGG
This 429-nucleotide ribosomal RNA is filed under the name Bacteroidota bacterium. RNAcentral's name for it is "Bacteroidetes bacterium partial 16S ribosomal RNA". It matches the Rfam family "Bacterial small subunit ribosomal RNA", at positions 355 to 776 of the family's 1533-position model. The record is from RNAcentral. Lineage: Bacteria; Pseudomonadati; Bacteroidota.